UAUUUCUGCAUGUGUAGUUUGCAUUCAAGUUCCAUAAGCUGUUAAGAAAAAUCUAGAAAAGUAAAACUAGAACCUAUUUUUAACCGAAGAACUACUUUUUGCCUCCCUCACAAAGGCGGCGGAAGGUGAUCGAAUUCCGGUGAUGCGAGUUGUUCUCCGUCUAUAAAUACGCCUCGCCCGAGCUGUGCGGUAGGCAUUGAGGCAGCCAGCGCAGGGGCUUCUGCUGAGGGGGCAGGCGGAGCUUGAGGAAACCGCAGAUAAGUUUUUUUCUCUUUGAAAGAUAGAGAUUAAUACAACUACUUAAAAAAUAUAGUCAAUAGGUUACUAAGAUAUUGCUUAGCGUUAAGUUUUUAACGUAAUUUUAAUAGCUUAAGAUUUUAAGAGAAAAUAUGAAGACUUAGAAGAGUAGCAUGAGGAAGGAAAAGAUAAAAGGUUUCUAAAACAUGACGGAGGUUGAGAUGAAGCUUCUUCAUGGAGUAAAAAAUGUAUUUAAAAGAAAAUUGAGAGAAAGGACUACAGAGCCCCGAAUUAAUACCAAUAGAAGGGCAAUGCUUUUAGAUUAAAAUGAAGGUGACUUAAACAGCUUAAAGUUUAGUUUAAAAGUUGUAGGUGAUUAAAAUAAUUUGAAGGCGAUCUUUUAAAAAGAGAUUAAACCGAAGGUGAUUAAAAGACCUUGAAAUCCAUGACGCAGGGAGAAUUGCGUCAUUUAAAGCCUAGUUAACGCAUUUACUAAACGCAGACGAAAAUGGAAAGAUUAAUUGGGAGUGGUAGGAUGAAACAAUUUGGAGAAGAUAGAAGUUUGAAGUGGAAAACUGGAAGACAGAAGUACGGGAAGGCGAAGAAAAGAAUAGAGAAGAUAGGGAAAUUAGAAGAUAAAAACAUACUUUUAGAAGAAAAAAGAUAAAUUUAAACCUGAAAAGUAGGAAGCAGAAGAAAAAAGACAAGCUAGGAAACAAAAAGCUAAGGGCAAAAUGUACAAACUUAGAAGAAAAUUGGAAGAUAGAAACAAGAUAGAAAAUGAAAAUAUUGUCAAGAGUUUCAGAUAGAAAAUGAAAAACAAGCUAAGACAAGUAUUGGAGAAGUAUAGAAGAUAGAAAAAUAUAAAGCCAAAAAUUGGAUAAAAUAGCACUGAAAAAAUGAGGAAAUUAUUGGUAACCAAUUUAUUUUAAAAGCCCAUCAAUUUAAUUUCUGGUGGUGCAGAAGUUAGAAGGUAAAGCUUGAGAAGAUGAGGGUGUUUACGUAGACCAGAACCAAUUUAGAAGAAUACUUGAAGCUAGAAGGGGAAGUUGGUUAAAAAUCACAUCAAAAAGCUACUAAAAGGACUGGUGUAAUUUAAAAAAAACUAAGGCAGAAGGCUUUUGGAAGAGUUAGAAGAAUUUGGAAGGCCUUAAAUAUAGUAGCUUAGUUUGAAAAAUGUGAAGGACUUUCGUAACGGAAGUAAUUCAAGAUCAAGAGUAAUUACCAACUUAAUGUUUUUGCAUUGGACUUUGAGUUAAGAUUAUUUUUUAAAUCCUGAGGACUAGCAUUAAUUGACAGCUGACCCAGGUGCUACACAGAAGUGGAUUCAGUGAAUCUAGGAAGACAGCAGCAGACAGGAUUCCAGGAACCAGUGUUUGAUGAAGCUAGGACUGAGGAGCAAGCGAGCAAGCAGCAGUUCGUGGUGAAGAUAGGAAAAGAGUCCAGGAGCCAGUGCGAUUUGGUGAAGGAAGCUAGGAAGAAGGAAGGAGCGCUAACGAUUUGGUGGUGAAGCUAGGAAAAAGGAUUCCAGGAAGGAGCGAGUGCAAUUUGGUGAUGAAGGUAGCAGGCGGCUUGGCUUGGCAACCACACGGAGGAGGCGAGCAGGCGUUGUGCGUAGAGGAUCCUAGACCAGCAUGCCAGUGUGCCAAGGCCACAGGGAAAGCGAGUGGUUGGUAAAAAUCCGUGAGGUCGGCAAUAUGUUGUUUUUCUGGAACUUACUUAUGGUAACCUUUUAUUUAUUUUCUAAUAUAAUGGGGGAGUUUCGUACUGAGGUGUAAAGGGAUUUAUAUGGGGACGUAGGCCGAUUUCCGGGUGUUGUAGGUUUCUCUUUUUCAGGCUUAUACUCAUGAAUCUUGUCUGAAGCUUUUGAGGGCAGACUGCCAAGUCCUGGAGAAAUAGUAGAUGGCAAGUUUGUGGGUUUUUUUUUUUUACACGAAUUUGAGGAAAACCAAAUGAAUUUGAUAGCCAAAUUGAGACAAUUUCAGCAAAUCUGUAAGCAGUUUGUAUGUUUAGUUGGGGUAAUGAAGUAUUUCAGUUUUGUGAAUAGAUGACCUGUUUUUACUUCCUCACCCUGAAUUCGUUUUGUAAAUGUAGAGUUUGGAUGUGUAACUGAGGCGGGGGGGAGUUUUCAGUAUUUUUUUUUGUGGGGGUGGGGGCAAAAUAUGUUUUCAGUUCUUUUUCCCUUAGGUCUGUCUAGAAUCCUAAAGGCAAAUGACUCAAGGUGUAACAGAAAACAAGAAAAUCCAAUAUCAGGAUAAUCAGACCACCACAGGUUUACAGUUUAUAGAAACUAGAGCAGUUCUCACGUUGAGGUCUGUGGAAGAGAUGUCCAUUGGAGAAAUGGCUGGUAGUUACUCUUUUUUCCCCCCACCCCCUUAAUCAGACUUUAAAAGUGCUUAACCCCUUAAACUUGUUAUUUUUUACUUGAAGCAUUUUGGGAUGGUCUUAACAGGGAAGAGAGAGGGUGGGGGAGAAAAUGUUUUUUUCUAAGAUUUUCCACAGAUGCUAUAGUACUAUUGACAAACUGGGUUAGAGAAGGAGUGUACCGCUGUGCUGUUGGCACGAACACCUUCAGGGACUGGAGCUGCUUUUAUCCUUGGAAGAGUAUUCCCAGUUGAAGCUGAAAAGUACAGCACAGUGCAGCUUUGGUUCAUAUUCAGUCAUCUCAGGAGAACUUCAGAAGAGCUUGAGUAGGCCAAAUGUUGAAGUUAAGUUUUCCAAUAAUGUGACUUCUUAAAAGUUUUAUUAAAGGGGAGGGGCAAAUAUUGGCAAUUAGUUGGCAGUGGCCUGUUACGGUUGGGAUUGGUGGGGUGGGUUUAGGUAAUUGUUUAGUUUAUGAUUGCAGAUAAACUCAUGCCAGAGAACUUAAAGUCUUAGAAUGGAAAAAGUAAAGAAAUAUCAACUUCCAAGUUGGCAAGUAACUCCCAAUGAUUUAGUUUUUUUCCCCCCAGUUUGAAUUGGGAAGCUGGGGGAAGUUAAAUAUGAGCCACUGGGUGUACCAGUGCAUUAAUUUGGGCAAGGAAAGUGUCAUAAUUUGAUACUGUAUCUGUUUUCCUUCAAAGUAUAGAGCUUUUGGGGAAGGAAAGUAUUGAACUGGGGGUUGGUCUGGCCUACUGGGCUGACAUUAACUACAAUUAUGGGAAAUGCAAAAGUUGUUUGGAUAUGGUAGUGUGUGGUUCUCUUUUGGAAUUUUUUUCAGGUGAUUUAAUAAUAAUUUAAAACUACUAUAGAAACUGCAGAGCAAAGGAAGUGGCUUAAUGAUCCUGAAGGGAUUUCUUCUGAUGGUAGCUUUUGUAUUAUCAAACUUUUUUCAGAUAACAUCUUCUGAGUCAUAACCAGCCUGGCAGUAUGAUGGCCUAGAUGCAGAGAAAACAGCUCCUUGGUGAAUUGAUAAGUAAAGGCAGAAAAGAUUAUAUGUCAUACCUCCAUUGGGGAAUAAGCAUAACCCUGAGAUUCUUACUACUGAUGAGAACAUUAUCUGCAUAUGCCAAAAAAUUUUAAGCAAAUGAAAGCUACCAAUUUAAAGUUACGGAAUCUACCAUUUUAAAGUUAAUUGCUUGUCAAGCUAUAACCACAAAAAUAAUGAAUUGAUGAGAAAUACAAUGAAGAGGCAAUGUCCAUCUCAAAAUACUGCUUUUACAAAAGCAGAAUAAAAGCGAAAAGAAAUGAAAAUGUUACACUACAUUAAUCCUGGAAUAAAAGAAGCCGAAAUAAAUGAGAGAUGAGUUGGGAUCAAGUGGAUUGAGGAGGCUGUGCUGUGUGCCAAUGUUUCGUUUGCCUCAGACAGGUAUCUCUUCGUUAUCAGAAGAGUUGCUUCAUUUCAUCUGGGAGCAGAAAACAGCAGGCAGCUGUUAACAGAUAAGUUUAACUUGCAUCUGCAGUAUUGCAUGUUAGGGAUAAGUGCUUAUUUUUAAGAGCUGUGGAGUUCUUAAAUAUCAACCAUGGCACUUUCUCCUGACCCCUUCCCUAGGGGAUUUCAGGAUUGAGAAAUUUUUCCAUCGAGCCUUUUUAAAAUUGUAGGACUUGUUCCUGUGGGCUUCAGUGAUGGGAUAGUACACUUCACUCAGAGGCAUUUGCAUCUUUAAAUAAUUUCUUAAAAGCCUCUAAAGUGAUCAGUGCCUUGAUGCCAACUAAGGAAAUUUGUUUAGCAUUGAAUCUCUGAAGGCUCUAUGAAAGGAAUAGCAUGAUGUGCUGUUAGAAUCAGAUGUUACUGCUAAAAUUUACAUGUUGUGAUGUAAAUUGUGUAGAAAACCAUUAAAUCAUUCAAAAUAAUAAACUAUUUUUAUUAGAGAAUGUAUACUUUUAGAAAGCUGUCUCCUUAUUUAAAUAAAAUAGUGUUUGUCUGUAGUUCAGUGUUGGGGCAAUCUUGGGGGGGAUUCUUCUCUAAUCUUUCAGAAACUUUGUCUGCGAACACUCUUUAAUGGACCAGAUCAGGAUUUGAGCGGAAGAACGAAUGUAACUUUAAGGCAGGAAAGACAAAUUUUAUUCUUCAUAAAGUGAUGAGCAUAUAAUAAUUCCAGGCACAUGGCAAUAGAGGCCCUCUAAAUAAGGAAUAAAUAACCUCUUAGACAGGUGGGAGAUUAUGAUCAGAGUAAAAGGUAAUUACACAUUUUAUUUCCAGAAAGUCAGGGGUCUAUAAAUUGACAGUGAUUAGAGUAAUACUUUUUCACAUUUCCAAAGUUUGCAUGUUAACUUUAAAUGCUUACAAUCUUAGAGUGGUAGGCAAUGUUUUACACUAUUGACCUUAUAUAGGGAAGGGAGGGGGUGCCUGUGGGGUUUUAAAGAAUUUUCCUUUGCAGAGGCAUUUCAUCCUUCAUGAAGCCAUUCAGGAUUUUGAAUUGCAUAUGAGUGCUUGGCUCUUCCUUCUGUUCUAACUUCACAGAGAAUGCAGUUGUCUUGACUUCAGGUCUGUCUGUUCUGUUGGCAAGUAAAUGCAGUACUGUUCUGAUCCCGCUGCUAUUAGAAUGCAUUGUGAAACGACUGGAGUAUGAUUAAAAGUUGUGUUCCCCAAUGCUUGGAGUAGUGAUUGUUGAAGGAAAAAAUCCAGCUGAGUGAUAAAGGCUGAGUGUUGAGGAAAUUUCUGCAGUUUUAAGCAGUCGUAUUUGUGAUUGAAGCUGAGUACAUUUUGCUGGUGUAUUUUUAGGUAAAAUGCUUUUUGUUCAUUUCUGGUGGUGGGAGGGGACUGAAGCCUUUAGUCUUUUCCAGAUGCAACCUUAAAAUCAGUGACAAGAAACAUUCCAAACAAGCAACAGUCUUCAAGAAAUUAAACUGGCAAGUGGAAAUGUUUAAACAGUUCAGUGAUCUUUAGUGCAUUGUUUAUGUGUGGGUUUCUCUCUCCCCUCCCUUGGUCUUAAUUCUUACAUGCAGGAACACUCAGCAGACACACGUAUGCGAAGGGCCAGAGAAGCCAGACCCAGUAAGAAAAAAUAGCCUAUUUACUUUAAAUAAACCAAACAUUCCAUUUUAAAUGUGGGGAUUGGGAACCACUAGUUCUUUCAGAUGGUAUUCUUCAGACUAUAGAAGGAGCUUCCAGUUGAAUUCACCAGUGGACAAAAUGAGGAAAACAGGUGAACAAGCUUUUUCUGUAUUUACAUACAAAGUCAGAUCAGUUAUGGGACAAUAGUAUUGAAUAGAUUUCAGCUUUAUGCUGGAGUAACUGGCAUGUGAGCAAACUGUGUUGGCGUGGGGGUGGAGGGGUGAGGUGGGCGCUAAGCCUUUUUUUAAGAUUUUUCAGGUACCCCUCACUAAAGGCACCGAAGGCUUAAAGUAGGACAACCAUGGAGCCUUCCUGUGGCAGGAGAGACAACAAAGCGCUAUUAUCCUAAGGUCAAGAGAAGUGUCAGCCUCACCUGAUUUUUAUUAGUAAUGAGGACUUGCCUCAACUCCCUCUUUCUGGAGUGAAGCAUCCGAAGGAAUGCUUGAAGUACCCCUGGGCUUCUCUUAACAUUUAAGCAAGCUGUUUUUAUAGCAGCUCUUAAUAAUAAAGCCCAAAUCUCAAGCGGUGCUUGAAGGGGAGGGAAAGGGGGAAAGCGGGCAACCACUUUUCCCUAGCUUUUCCAGAAGCCUGUUAAAAGCAAGGUCUCCCCACAAGCAACUUCUCUGCCACAUCGCCACCCCGUGCCUUUUGAUCUAGCACAGACCCUUCACCCCUCACCUCGAUGCAGCCAGUAGCUUGGAUCCUUGUGGGCAUGAUCCAUAAUCGGUUUCAAGGUAACGAUGGUGUCGAGGUCUUUGGUGGGUUGAACUAUGUUAGAAAAGGCCAUUAAUUUGCCUGCAAAUUGUUAACAGAAGGGUAUUAAAACCACAGCUAAGUAGCUCUAUUAUAAUACUUAUCCAGUGACUAAAACCAACUUAAACCAGUAAGUGGAGAAAUAACAUGUUCAAGAACUGUAAUGCUGGGUGGGAACAUGUAACUUGUAGACUGGAGAAGAUAGGCAUUUGAGUGGCUGAGAGGGCUUUUGGGUGGGAAUGCAAAAAUUCUCUGCUAAGACUUUUUCAGGUGAACAUAACAGACUUGGCCAAGCUAGCAUCUUAGCGGAAGCUGAUCUCCAAUGCUCUUCAGUAGGGUCAUGAAGGUUUUUCUUUUCCUGAGAAAACAACACGUAUUGUUUUCUCAGGUUUUGCUUUUUGGCCUUUUUCUAGCUUAAAAAAAAAAAAAGCAAAAGAUGCUGGUGGUUGGCACUCCUGGUUUCCAGGACGGGGUUCAAAUCCCUGCGGCGUCUUUGCUUUGACUACUAAUCUGUCUUCAGGACUCUUUCUGUAUUUCUCCUUUUCUCUGCAGGUGCUAGUUCUUGGAGUUUUGGGGAGGUGGGAGGUAACAGCACAAUAUCUUUGAACUAUAUACAUCCUUGAUGUAUAAUUUGUCAGGAGCUUGACUUGAUUGUAUAUUCAUAUUUACACGAGAACCUAAUAUAACUGCCUUGUCUUUUUCAGGUAAUAGCCUGCAGCUGGUGUUUUGAGAAGCCCUACUGCUGAAAACUUAACAAUUUUGUGUAAUAAAAAUGGAGAAGCUCUAAAUUGUUGUGGUUCUUUUGUGAAUAAAAAAAUCUUGAUUGG
This 7293-nucleotide long non-coding RNA is filed under the name Homo sapiens (human). The record is from RNAcentral. Lineage: Eukaryota; Metazoa; Chordata; Mammalia; Primates; Hominidae.